This 480-nucleotide long non-coding RNA is filed under the name Phoenix dactylifera (date palm). RNAcentral's name for it is "long non-coding RNA (PDAC_LNC001437)". The record is from RNAcentral. Lineage: Eukaryota; Viridiplantae; Streptophyta; Magnoliopsida; Arecales; Arecaceae.
UCAGAUCUCGUCCGCGCUUCCCAGCAUGCCACGUCCAUGAACCAGCUCCCCCGAGUUCCCAGCAACCGUGAUCCCAGCUCCAAACCUCCUUCCGAUCCCGAGCAUCUCCAUUCCAGCGUCACAGCAAGAUCACACGCUCCCGGAUCUUUCUCCCCACCAGCGCAUCAUCCGAGUCUACGAUUCCAGCGGGGAAGAGAUCGCGAUCCAUCCACGAUCGGAUCCUCCAGGCCACUGCAGCCUCCCGGAUUCGCAAUCAUCCGAGUUCCAGCCACAUCAGCUCCCAGCGUCCGCGUGUGAUCCAGCCUCUCCCAGUCAUUCCGUGUCCGGGAUCUUGCGGCUGGCUAAGGAUGCUCUUCCCGUUCGUUUCCGCAUCCGAUUCUCCCGCAUCCACAGCCUCAUCCAGCCGACGUGUCUCCACCGCGUGCGAAUCUCUCGCGUCCCCUUCCAAAUCCCAGCCGUCCGCGCCUAUUCCCGUGCAAG